CUGCUGGUAGCUGAAAAGCUGAAAUGCAAAAAGUGGGACAACACGAAAGAUGUUAAGAGGAGCAGGAAGACCAGCCGUGAAAAUGCCUCAGCACUGAAUCCCUGAACAACAAACCAGCAAUCGCUGCCCAGGCUCUCAGCCCUGGAGGUGGAUGCAGCUUUCUUCAUUCCUCAAAGCCUGAGCCCUUGCUCCUCCAGUGGUCCGCCCUCUCACUCAACCAAUAUUCCACCAACACGAAACUGGGAACAGCACAGAUGUCCAUCAAAAGGAGAAUGGAUAAACAAACUGGAGCAUAUUCAUACAGAGAAAUACAAUUCAGCAAUUAAAAAAUAAGGACUUACUGAUACAUCCAACCAUACGGAUGAAUUGCCAAAAUAUUCUGCUAAGUGAAUGAAGCCUUCACAGAAAAGAGUGGGUAUUACACAAUUCCAUUUAUUUGAAAUUCCAGAAAAACUAAACUCAUCUAUGGAGAAAAAAAUUUCAGAAGAAUGGUGGGGGUGGGAGGGUAGGCAGGUUUGGACUGGUGGAACAUGACAGAACUUUCUGGAAUGAUGUGAACGCUCUGUAUCAUUAUAAGAGUGUGCUUUUGAUCAAAUCCACCCCUCAACAUUAGAUGGAGGGAUGGAAGUGAGUGUGGCCCAUGGCAGAGCACUUGUCUAGUACAGUACUCUGAGAGCUACUGUAAAAAGUAGUAAAUGAUAAAAAAUAAAAUGCUACAGAAAACUUGGUAUAUCAAAAUUAAAUAUUUAAUCUUUGCUUUGUAUAUUUCAAUUAUUUGCUUUGUAUUAUUCAAUUCCCAGGACCACCAACCUCUCCCCCUCCCUGAACCAACCCAAACCAAAACAAAUUAGGUAGGUAUCUUAUAGAUGUGCAGACUGGUGGCUUGAAUUUCAGCAGUAAUUGCAAAUGAUGAUUCUGUAGGCACUUACUAGAGCACACUCUAACCACCACAGGUCACUGUGGGAUUUGGGCUGGUAAGGCCCAAGCACCUGUAAUGUUCCUCUCCACAAACUGAAUGUCUACUGGGCACUAUGCUAAUGUGCCUUUGGGCAUUACUGUUUUUAUAUAACUUUUAAGUUCACAUAGCAUUUAUUGUAACACUUUUUCAGUUAAUUUACAACAUAUUUCUUAGUUCCUAAUCUUAGUUCCUAAUCAAAUAAGAAUCCUUUGCUUCUUGGGAAAGGCUACUGGCUAUCAGGUAUCCUGCCUAAGAAAGCCCUCAGAUGUGUGUAUCAUUAGUGCAUUUCACGUGUUUGUAUAUGUUUAUAAUGCUCCAUACCCACAAAAUUUGCUCAACUAUCAUUCUCUAAUAAAAGCUAUGACUGCAUCUCAUAAAACUUAAGCACUUUUUAAUAAAAAGUUUUUAUUAUACAUUGGAAACCAGGCAUAUACAUAAUACUACCUUUACAAAUGUGAUUCUUUACACAUAUUUAAGGUACUGCUAUGUUAUAUAGACUGAUUUUAAAUGCCAAGUUAAAAUCGGAGAAAAGCAAAAGAACCUCCCAUAAGUAUGAGCUCGUUCUACAUGCAAAUUAUAAUGCAG
Ictidomys tridecemlineatus (thirteen-lined ground squirrel) is the source of this 1543-nucleotide non-coding RNA. The record is from RefSeq and is a predicted model, not a curated record. Lineage: Eukaryota; Metazoa; Chordata; Mammalia; Rodentia; Sciuridae.